UCCUACGGGGGGCAGCAGUGGGGGAUAUUGCACAAUGGGGGGAACCCUGAUGCAGCGACGCCGCGUGGGUGAAGGAGUGCUUCGGCAUGUAAAGCCCUAUCGGCAGGGAAGAAGCAAGACGGUACCUGACUAAGAAGCCCCGGCUAACUACGUGCCAGCAGCCGCGGUAAUACGUAGGGGGCGAGCGUUAUCCGGAUUUACUGGGUGUAAAGGGAGCGUAGACGGCGGCGCAAGUCCGGAGUGAAAGCCCACGGCCCAACCGGGGGACUGCUCUGGAAACGGUGCGGCUUGAGUGCGGGAGGGGG
This 305-nucleotide ribosomal RNA is filed under the name uncultured bacterium. RNAcentral's name for it is "partial 16S ribosomal RNA". It matches the Rfam family "Bacterial small subunit ribosomal RNA", at positions 337 to 658 of the family's 1533-position model. The record is from RNAcentral.